This 32-nucleotide non-coding RNA is filed under the name Syntrophotalea carbinolica DSM 2380. Lineage: Bacteria; Pseudomonadati; Thermodesulfobacteriota; Desulfuromonadia; Desulfuromonadales; Syntrophotaleaceae. The record is from RNAcentral.
ACGUUUAGCCAACGGUGGCUUGGUGGACGUGG